Molecule: ribosomal RNA, 497 nt
Filed under: uncultured bacterium
Lineage: Bacteria
Description: partial 16S ribosomal RNA
Rfam family: Bacterial small subunit ribosomal RNA
Source: RNAcentral
GAUGAACGCUGGCGGCGUGCCUAAUACAUGCAAGUCGAGCGAACAGAUGAGGAGCUUGCUCCUUUGACGUUAGCGGCGGACGGGUGAGUAACACGUGUGUAACCUACCUAUAAGACUGGGAUAACUUCGGGAAACCGGAUCUAAUACCGGAUAAGAUUUGGAACCGCAUGGUUCUAUAGUGAAAGAUGGUUUUGCUAUCACUUAUAGAUGGACCCGGGCCGUAUUAGCUAGUUGGUAAGGUAACGGCUUACCAAGGCGACGAUCCGUAGCCGACCUGAGAGGGUGAUCGGCCACACUGGAACUGAGACACGGUCCAGACUCCUACGGGAGGCAGCAGUAGGGAAUCUUCCGCAAUGGGCGAAAGCCUGACGGAGCAACGCCGCGUGAGUGAUGAAGGUCUUCGGAUCGUAAAACUCUGUUAUUAGGGAAGAACAACUGUGUAAGUAAACGUGCCCGUAUUGACGGUACCUAAUCAGAAAGCAACGGCUAACUACGUG